Molecule: ribosomal RNA, 737 nt
Filed under: uncultured bacterium
Lineage: Bacteria
Description: bacterial SSU rRNA
Rfam family: Bacterial small subunit ribosomal RNA
Source: RNAcentral
AGAGUUUGAUCCUGGCUCAGGAUGAACGCUAGCGGCAGGCCUAAUACAUGCAAGUCGAACGGUUCAGCAAUGGAUAGUGGCGGACGGGUGCGUAACGCGUAAGCAAUCUACCUAUGAGUGAGGGAUACCGACUGGAAACGGUCGUUAAUACCGCAUGAUGCAGCGGGGCCGGUGGGUCAAUAGUUGUUAAAGCCGCGAGGCGCUUAUAGAUGAGCUUGCGUCUGAUUAGUUAGUUGGCGGGGUAACGGCCCACCAAGACGAUGAUCAGUAACUGGUCUGAGAGGAUGAUCAGUCACACUGGCACUGAGACACGGGCCAGACUCCUACGGGAGGCAGCAGUAGGGAAUAUUGGGCAAUGGGCGGAAGCCUGACCCAGCCAUGCCGCGUGAGGGAUGGAGGCGCUUUGCGUUGUAAACCUCUUUUAAUUGGGACUAAUGAGCUUGUAACUCAAGUUUUUGAAGGUACCAAAGGAAUAAGGACCGGCUAACUACGUGCCAGCAGCCGCGGUAAUACGUAGGGUCCGAGCGUUGUCCGGAUUUACUGGGUUUAAAGGGUGCGUAGGCGGCUGAAUCAGUCGGUGAUGAAAUGCCGGGGCUUAACCUUAGGCGCUGUUACCGAUACUGUUUGGCUUGAGAUAGAAUGAGGCAGCUGGAAUAAGUGGUGUAGCGGUGAAAUGCGUAGAGAUCACUUAGAACACCGAUUGCGAAGGCAGGUUGCUGGUUCUUAUCUGACGCUGA